This 903-nucleotide ribosomal RNA is filed under the name Enterobacter cloacae. RNAcentral describes it as "bacterial SSU rRNA". It matches the Rfam family "Bacterial small subunit ribosomal RNA", at positions 552 to 1454 of the family's 1533-position model. The record is from RNAcentral. Lineage: Bacteria; Pseudomonadati; Pseudomonadota; Gammaproteobacteria; Enterobacterales; Enterobacteriaceae.
UACUGGGCGUAAGCGCACGCAGGCGGUCUGUCAAGUCGGAUGUGAAAUCCCCGGGCUCAACCUGGGAACUGCAUUCGAAACUGGCAGGCUAGAGUCUUGUAGAGGGGGGUAGAAUUCCAGGUGUAGCGGUGAAAUGCGUAGAGAUCUGGAGGAAUACCGGUGGCGAAGGCGGCCCCCUGGACAAAGACUGACGCUCAGGUGCGAAAGCGUGGGGAGCAAACAGGAUUAGAUACCCUGGUAGUCCACGCCGUAAACGAUGUCGACUUGGAGGUUGUGCCCUUGAGGCGUGGCUUCCGGAGCUAACGCGUUAAGUCGACCGCCUGGGGAGUACGGCCGCAAGGUUAAAACUCAAAUGAAUUGACGGGGGCCCGCACAAGCGGUGGAGCAUGUGGUUUAAUUCGAUGCAACGCGAAGAACCUUACCUACUCUUGACAUCCAGAGAACUUUGCAGAGAUGCAUUGGUGCCUUCGGGAACUCUGAGACAGGUGCUGCAUGGCUGUCGUCAGCUCGUGUUGUGAAAUGUUGGGUUAAGUCCCGCAACGAGCGCAACCCUUAUCCUUUGUUGCCAGCGGUCCGGCCGGGAACUCAAAGGAGACUGCCAGUGAUAAACUGGAGGAAGGUGGGGGAUGACGUCAAGUCAUCAUGGCCCUUACGAGUAGGGCUACACACGUGCUACAAUGGCGCAUACAAAGAGAAGCGACCUCGCGAGAGCAAAGCGGACCUCAUAAAGUGCGUCGUAGUCCGGGAUUGGAGUCUGCAACUCGACUCCAUGAAGUCGGAAUCGCUAGUAAUCGUAGAUCAGAAUGCUACGGUGAAUACGUUCCCGGGCGUUGUACACACCGCCCGUCACACCAUGAGAGUGGGUUGCAAAGAAGUAGGUAGCUUAACCUUCGGGAGGGCGCU